Molecule: ribosomal RNA, 122 nt
Filed under: endosymbiont of Riftia pachyptila (vent Ph05)
Lineage: Bacteria; Pseudomonadati; Pseudomonadota; Gammaproteobacteria
Source: RNAcentral
UUUGCCUGGCGGCCAUAGCGAGUUGGUACCACCCGAUCCCAUCCCGAACUCGGAAGUGAAACGACUUAGCGCCGAUGAUAGUGUGGGGUCUCCCCAUGUGAAAGUAGGUCACUGCCAGGCGC